RNAcentral lists this ribosomal RNA (414 nucleotides) under uncultured microorganism. RNAcentral describes it as "bacterial SSU rRNA". It matches the Rfam family "Archaeal small subunit ribosomal RNA", at positions 330 to 745 of the family's 1478-position model. The record is from RNAcentral.
GCGCAGCAGUCGCGAAACCUCCGCAAUGCGGGAAACCGCGACGGGGGGACCCCGAGUGCCGUGGCAAUGCUACGGCUUUUCCGGAGUGUAAAAAGCUCCGGGAAUAAGGGCUGGGCAAGGCCGGUGGCAGCCGCCGCGGUAAUACCGGCGGCCCGAGUGGUGGCCGCUAUUAUUGGGCCUAAAGCGUCCGUAGCCGGGCCCGUAAGUCCCUGGCGAAAUCCCACGGCUCAACCGUGGGGCUUGCUGGGGAUACUGCGGGUCUUGGGACCGGGAGAGGCGAGGGGUACCCCUGGGGUAGGGGUGAAAUCCUAUAAUCCCAGGGGGACCGCCAGUGGCGAAGGCGCCCCGCUGGAACGGGUCCGACGGUGAGGGACGAAGGCCAGGGGAGCAAACCGGAUUAGAUACCCCUGUAGU